CGUGUUUGUAAUGGAGUGCCAUUAGCCUGUUCCAUCCAAGGCUAUACUUCAUCAGACAAAACAACGUCUUUAUUUGAGUGUGGGCCAUGGCCCCCAACAAAAAACUUUUGGACACCCCUGCUCUAGAACAUCAGAAAAAUCACAGGUGGCUUUUGUAAUCCUACCCAGAUUAUAUUUAAGACCGCCUCCCCCGAGUGUCAGUAAUAUUGCAGCUAAUCUGGUGGUGUUACAGUG
This 234-nucleotide long non-coding RNA is filed under the name Astyanax mexicanus (Mexican tetra). Its description in RNAcentral is "lncRNA (ENSAMXG00005015490.1)". Lineage: Eukaryota; Metazoa; Chordata; Actinopteri; Characiformes; Acestrorhamphidae. The record is from RNAcentral.